This 371-nucleotide long non-coding RNA is filed under the name Homo sapiens (human). RNAcentral's name for it is "non-protein coding LINC02468:4". The record is from RNAcentral. Lineage: Eukaryota; Metazoa; Chordata; Mammalia; Primates; Hominidae.
UGGAAUUCUAGGAUUACAUAUGCAUAUGAUUAGUUGUUCAUUCAUUUAUUAAUUUAUUCACUCAAUCACCUGUAUACCAAAUAUGUAUUAAGUAUCUGUUAUGUGCCAGGAACCUGUUCCAGGUUCAGAGAAUACAGUGAAUAAACAGACUGAACCCUGCUCUCAAUGAACAUCUUCAUGUUACUUGAUAUGAGUUCAUUCCUUGAAAACAUCAAUAAGAUGCUGGAGUUUAAUCAACCACAGCAGACUGUGAGGUGGAAGCCACUUGGUGAUUGUGAGCCAGCACCAAGAUCGAAGGCAUUUGGAUCCCUGGUGAUCACAGACCCAGCAUGUCAUCUCUGCAAAGGUCUUUGAGCAGGAGCCCAAGGAAG